RNAcentral lists this ribosomal RNA (1067 nucleotides) under Salmonella enterica subsp. enterica serovar Choleraesuis. RNAcentral's name for it is "partial 23S ribosomal RNA". It matches the Rfam family "Bacterial large subunit ribosomal RNA", at positions 223 to 1326 of the family's 2925-position model. The record is from RNAcentral. Lineage: Bacteria; Pseudomonadati; Pseudomonadota; Gammaproteobacteria; Enterobacterales; Enterobacteriaceae.
AAUCAACCGAGAUUCCCCCAGUAGCGGCGAGCGAACGGGGAGGAGCCCAGAGCCUGAAUCAGCAUGUGUGUUAGUGGAAGCGUCUGGAAAGGCGCGCGAUACAGGGUGACAGCCCCGUACACAAAAGCGCAUGUGCUGUGAGCUCGAUGAGUAGGGCGGGACACGUGGUAUCCUGUCUGAAUAUGGGGGGACCAUCCUCCAAGGCUAAAUACUCCUGACUGACCGAUAGUGAACCAGUACCGUGAGGGAAAGGCGAAAAGAACCCCGGCGAGGGGAGUGAAAAAGAACCUGAAACCGUGUACGUACAAGCAGUGGGAGCACAGGUUUACCUGUGUGACUGCGUACCUUUUGUAUAAUGGGUCAGCGACUUAUAUUCUGUAGCAAGGUUAACCGUAUAGGGGAGCCGUAGGGAAACCGAGUCUUAACCGGGCGUUAAGUUGCAGGGUAUAGACCCGAAACCCGGUGAUCUAGCCAUGGGCAGGUUGAAGGUUGGGUAACACUAACUGGAGGACCGAACCGACUAAUGUUGAAAAAUUAGCGGAUGACCUGUGGCUGGGGGUGAAAGGCCAAUCAAACCGGGAGAUAGCUGGUUCUCCCCGAAAGCUAUUUAGGUAGCGCCUCGUGAAUUCAUCUCCGGGGGUAGAGCACUGUUUCGGCUAGGGGGCCAUCCCGGCUUACCAACCCGAUGCAAACUGCGAAUACCGGAGAAUGUUAUCACGGGAGACACACGGCGGGUGCUAACGUCCGUCGUGAAGAGGGAAACAACCCAGACCGCCAGCUAAGGUCCCAAAGUCAUGGUUAAGUGGGAAACGAUGUGGGAAGGCCCAGACAGCCAGGAUGUUGGCUUAGAAGCAGCCAUCAUUUAAAGAAAGCGUAAUAGCUCACUGGUCGAGUCGGCCUGCGCGGAAGAUGUAACGGGGCUAAACCAUGCACCGAAGCUGCGGCAGCGACGCUGAUGCGUUGUUGGGUAGGGGAGCGUUCUGUAAGCCUGUGAAGGUGGCCUGUGAGGGUUGCUGGAGGUAUCAGAAGUGCGAAUGCUGACAUAAGUAACGAUAAAGCGGGUGAAA